Penaeus vannamei (Pacific white shrimp) is the source of this 6429-nucleotide non-coding RNA. Lineage: Eukaryota; Metazoa; Arthropoda; Malacostraca; Decapoda; Penaeidae. The record is from RefSeq and is a predicted model, not a curated record.
CACACACACACACACACACACACACACACACACACACACACACACACACACACACACACACACACACACACACACACACACACACACACACACCACUGAACAAUCAACACGCAUGCACACGCAUUCUGUAGUUUAUGCUUUAAAACUGAUAAUGUUUCUGUUUCCGAUAAAUUUCCAGUUAGCAAGGAAAGUGAAUAUGUGUAAUAUGUGUUAACGGUAGUAAUUCAUCGAAAUAAGAGAGAAAUAGAUGACCUUCUCAUUGAAAGAAGUCUUACGAGUUACCCAGAUGCUAUAGUUUUUUUUUUUUUUUUUUGGUUAUUAACCGACUAGUGUUUUUUCGCAACUUUUUUUCUGUUGAUAAAAAAUGCAAAUAAUUUGUUGUGUAUUUGUUUACAUGUGUUUAUUUUUUGUGAUUGUAAAGUUAGGAUUUUAUUUAUUAUAUUUUAUUUUUUUAUUUUUUAGUUUCAUUAUUAUUAUUAUUGUCAUUUUUAUUAUUAUUACUAUUACUAUUAUUAUUAUUUCCUGCAGUAUUACAUAUUCUUGGCUGAUUGAGUUAAAUAUCCGAGAUGAUGAGACGAAUCUAUGCAUAUUUGAAAUAAAGAUCAACAUUUAUUCUGUGAAUUUAGUGGCAUUUUCAUAAAUACUGUUCAAUAAGGGACAUUCACAGCAAUAUAGUGUAAUUACUAACCACUUCUUUUGACUACUUUUAUAUUAUGUAUUUAUAAAUAACUCUGAUCAUGUGAAGUAUAUUUUCUAUUUUUUUAUAAACUUUUUUCAUACUUGAUUUUGGGAACUCGUACAAGAAUGAUCAUUAGCAGAUCCAUAUCAAAAAGUAUAUACCAAAAAGUAAGUCAGUAAAUGUUUCUUUAAGAAGCACAAUUAAACAGAUAGAAAAUGAUAAUUCAGCGUAUUUAAUGAUAUGUAUAUAGAUUUCUUGCUUCAAGCCAAAGCACAAUGAAAAGAACAGAAAAUAUAUAGUUAUAUAUAUAUGUAUCCAUUUGAAUUAGUCAAAUGAGAAUCUAUACGUGAUAGACAAAAGAAAUAACAAGCCCGCGAAUACAAAAUACCCCAAUCCCCCAACUUAGAGAAAAAAAACAAAUCAAUUAGAAUUGAAAAAAAUAGCCCCCCCUAAAAAAAACCGUUAAAUUUUCAAAACGAAGAAAACGGAAAUAGUUGCCGGCGCUCACCAGCACAGCAUUCCAAACCCGUGCCCUGUCCGAAGUGUCCUUUUUGUAUUUCAGAAUAUUUUAUGUCUCUCAAGAUCAUUCAUUCAGUCAAAUGGUUGCUAGUUUAACAAUAUUAUAGUAUGUCAUUUGUAAUUAUAUAAUAUUUAUUUGAUAUUUAGUACUUGAGUAAAGUAGUACACACGAACAUUUGAAAUAUCUAUGAUGCGGACCUAUAUUACUAAAUAGAGAAAUGGGUCAUCCGUACUCUAUAGUUUAAAAUAAAAAAACAAAAAAACAAAACAUGUAAUUAACAUAUUAAAAAAAUACUUUAUUUUUGUAUUAUUUAAUGCCAUCAAAUCCUGCAUAAACGGAAAUGAAAAUAAAUAUGGAGAGAAAAAAAAGUAAAAAAAAAAAUAACGGAUUCCAGGAUCUUUUUUAAAAAAUGACUUUGGACACAACAUACAACAGAAUUUUACCCACUUCUAUGAUGGUGCUAAAUCUUCUUGUCUUACCUCAUUUCUGCUCCGUGGCCCAGCAGAGUGGCCGACUCUCGAAAAUUUGCAAAUGAAUAUAUAUUGAAAAAUUAACCGUGUAGCGUAUAAUGUUGACGUGAACAUACAAAGCUUCAUGAUUAUGAAAACUCUUUUUCUCUUAAGUAAUUCCGUUUUUUCAUUGAUAUAUAUAUAUACUCCUCUUUUUUAUUAAAUACGAUUUCGGUAUUCGCCAACUGGUGCACAGUAUAGAUAGCUUGACUAAGUAAUCAAUGUUAUAUGACGACGUCGGGAUAUAGAAUAUAAAUAACAAGAAUUAUUUUUUUUUUUAAUGGCACACUGAACAAACAAAAAAACAAACAAAUUGGUUCAGUCGACAACGGCACAAGAAAAGCAAAUCUCGUUAAUUUUUUAUCUUCGAGAAAAAAUAACAUUGAACAGCUCCGAGUGUAAAACAAAACAAAAUAAGAAAACGAGCCGUGGGAAACAAAUUCACGUAAUUGAUCAAAUACGUGAACUUUUUUUAGUAAAUCGCAUGUCUUUGAAUGACCAUGACGAGGCGAGAGGGAGCGACGGCGUGUGUAAGAAGUCAGUCGAGGUAACUACCGCCUUAAUUAAUAAAAAAAUGGAAAUAAUAGCGGAAAAAAAGGAACAUUGUGAAUUGGAAAACGCACAUGUGAUAAUUCUUUCUCUAUCUAUUUAUUUCAAGUUUUCAAAAUAAGAAUUAAAAAUAAAAAUUCUCGCAAGAGGUGAAAGUCAAAUAUAUCCUGAAAGAAACAAACAAACAAGCAAAAAUAUACAACAAUAACAAGUUUUGUGGUUAUCACGUGACUGUACUGCUGAUUGUGAGGCAAAGCUAAAGAAGGAUGUCUUAAUAUAGCUGGCAAGGACCUGUGAAGUACUUGUAAAUCUUAGGACCCUAAGGGCAGAGUUCCAUCACUUUUACCAACACACCACUUGCCAUUCUGUUCUUGUGGGUGCGUUCGCCAAUGGUGAAUUGUUCAGAUACACGAGACUCCAGUAUUUCAUACAAUGCAUCAAAUUCUUUGGUGAGCAAAAAUAGAUAAAUAAAUAAACAAAUCAUAUAUAUGUACUCAGUAUGCAGUUAUACUUCGUGCAUGAUAUUAUUGCUUCGAUAUCAAAUUUUCUUCAGGACCGAGCGUAGAAGUUGCCGUGCAGUGGCAGCUAUCUGAGCAUUCAUUCAUUGUGAACGCAACCACUAUUUUAGGUUUAACGGUCAUUUGCGCUGUGACGUAAGGUAAUUUCUGUGGGGCUGUGUAAGAAAAUGUCUCUCUGUAAUCCCCCCCUGACAAAAUAAGAUGUUUAUUCAGUUGUAGACUAUGGAACCCCAAAGUCGAUUGUAGACAGCCUUUCUCUUCCACGGUCGCCACAGAUCUAGGUGAUAGGUUCGUAGCAUUUUAUUGAAUGUAAAUGAUUAACCCCAUGUCUUCAGGGGUAGCUUAAGCUUUAAUAAACACCAUAGCAUAUACAAGUUCUAUCCUAUCACUCCUUUAUAGUAUCAAAGUAGGUCAAAAUAGAGCAGUUGUAAUUAGCAGUCACACCUCGACACUUCAAGGAGUUUGGAAUUUUAGAGUAGCAGGUUAUGUAGGAUCAGUUAACUGUAUUUUGUUUUAUAAGAAGAGUAUAUUAUUUUUGCUAUGGAAAUUCGAAACUAUAUUAGUCUGUCCUCUGUUGAAUAUUAGUGUAAUUUAACUGGACCAGUAUUUUCUUUAGAUUCAAAAUAUAGUCUAUAUUCGCUGUUGUUUUAGUGUUAAUGGAUUAGUUACCUAUGUCGAGGUUUCACUGUUGUAGUACCGGAGUCAUACUGUCAGGAUAUGGUAGGAAUCUUCAUAAAUAUUGUAGAUCAGAAUGUAUGUGAAAUCUUCCCAUAACUACGAAAUCACAUUAAAUGUACACAUUUUAAAAACAGUCAGACGAGGCUAAGAUCCACCAAAUAUCAUUAAAUUUUAGAUAUCUAUUAAUAAUAGACUCCCUAUUAGACACCCUAUCACAAUCUGUUAUUGAUAUAAGCGAAUGACAAUUGCUCAAUUCAUAGAUGAGACUUGUACAUGCUACAGUAGACCGAGGUGUGGAGGGGUUGAUAGUGUCCCAUUUUACCCCUUCUGGUGUAGGCGACGCCCCACGCCGGCAGGGUGUAACUCGGAGGCUGGUACACCUCUCUUGCCUUCACUAGGGUGUAGACAGGGCUCUUGUCCUCUGCCCCCGACCUGCACAUGUCUUGAACCUGACUCUUUCGCGAAGAAAAAUUCCAGCUUCUGUGGGGCAAAUAUGUAUUGCUACUGAACACCGCGUUAUGUAUGUUUCCUCAACAGGAAUAUAUAUGUGGCUUAAAUAUGUUGUUUUUAAUUAGUUUUGUUUUUUUGUUGUUUUAUAUUUUGUUUAGGAUGUCAAGCACAUGUAAUAUAUAUUUUUUUCUAAACCCUUCAAAAAAAGAAGAAAAGUUCUUGGCUGUUGUUAUGUGUGUUUUUCAUUUUCUCGGAAGAAGAAAAAAAUAAAUAAAUAAUAAAUUGAUGUCAUGUUAUUUCAUAGGCUAGUGUAAAACUGAAAAAUCAGUGGAUGUGUUUAAAGGUGCCAUUUCCACAGCAGCUGGAACAUCGCUCUUUUCCCACUCUUAAGUGUGUGUACAUAAAGGUUCUUCUACUUUUAUUACCUUUUCUACUAAAGAAAAACAGAAAGGAAUUUAUGUUUGUAUUUAAAAUGAAUUCUAAAAGAAACGUUUAUAAGUAGAUUCUCUUAGGUAACGUUCGCUAGGAGUAAGCAUAUAGAUGUAGUUCUCUGCAUUCUAAGAUAAUGUAUUUCUGUUUUGUUUGCCUAAUUUUAUUGUUAACCUUAUUUGGGAUGCUACAUCGAAAGGAGGAUAUUGUGUCGAAUUCACUUAUUUUUUCAAAUGGGUACAAUGCUUAAAGAUAAUCCCUCAAGAUAAAAAAGAAAAUGAGCAUGUUCUCUUUAUUCAUUUUCAGAUAGCCGCUUGUAAAGGCUUUUCCAUUGGCUACCUUUAUUCCUAAACUGUAAGGCGACAAUUUACAGGUUGUGUUAAUAUCGUUCCCUGGCCUUUUCGCUUGUCCUUAAUGUAUAAAAAAUCUUAAGAAUGUAAGAAUCAACUCAAGAAAAGUUCUUUCACACUCAUAAGCCCUAACAUGACUUAUGGAUGAACUGAUCACAUAGUGUAAACAAACUGUAAACUUAAGAAGUGCUUCCCUUUCGCAUAUCACUCAAUAUUCACUCAUAAGUCAAGUCGCGUGGAAAAAAAAGUUAAAAAAAACUGCUUCAUGUACUACUAACAUGCAUGGUGUUUAUAAUGAUAAGUGCCACUAAACUUGCAUUAUAUGGUAGAACUCAGUGAUUUUUAGUUGUAGACGCAUUACUCAAAUGUUUGACAUCUGAAUCCCAAAAAGCUAGAAAAAAAAUAUCUAGGCCAUCCGAACUCCCAAAAGAUAAGAAGGUUAGGUCAUCUGAUUCCCAAAAGAUAAAGUUAGGUCAUCUGACUUCCGUGAGGUUAGGUCAUCUGACUCCCAAAAGCAUGAGGUUAGGUCAUCUGACUCCCAAAAGCAUGAGGUUAGGUCAUCUGACUCCCAAAAACAUGAGGUUAGGUCAUCUGACUCCCAAAAGCAUGAGGUUAGGUCAUCUGACUCCCAAAAACAUGAGGUUAGGUCAUCUGACUCCCAAAAACAUGAGGUUAGGUCAUUAGACUCCCAAAAGACAAGGUUAGGUCAAAAUCGGUGACUUCGGAAGGGGCCGCAUGGUAACUAACACUCACUGGAGCUUGUCGUCUUACGCAAAAAAAGGUAAUUUAAUCAAAUGCAAAAUGUUGCACGUCACUAGAAGGACGCCGAGAAAUGGAGUUUUGACAGUUCUGUGAUGUUUAGAGAUUGUUAAGAAGAGUGAGGUGAUUAUAUCGCUUAAUACAGUUUAUACAUCAUAAUCUGCAAAAAGAAAUGUAUUGAAGUGACUGAUUAUAUGCUUUAUGAGAAUGUAAUCGCCUUACUCCAUAGAAUCUUUUUUUUUUUGUAGAAAAUGUAGACUUAGACAUGUCAAGGGUCGUAUUUCCGGCCCGGUUUUACCUUAUUGAAAACCACUUUAUGUGUCCUUCUACUGAUGACUUAAUAAGAUAUUCUGCAGGUGCUUCUCUCGCCUGGAUAAUUGAUCCGCAGGAACUUGAAGUGAUUAAUUGGUUAUGAGUUUAAUUUGGCACAUUCAGCGUGUGAGAGAUUUCGAUUCCGCAACAUAAUUUCUAAAAAAAAAAAGCACAUUCAGAUAUUCCAAUUCAUGGACAUUUCUAGAAAGUCAAAAGGCUGAAAAGGGGAUCAUUACGACCAGUAUUAUCGCACUAAUUGCAUUUGAUAAGUGAAUUGCAAAAAAAAAGGUAAAAAAAAAAAGGAAAAAAAAUUCUGCUGUCAAAUUUAUUCUCGACCAACGGAUAAUAAGGUCCAGGUGUAGAUUUUCAGUGUUGAAUCCCAAGGAAUAUAAAAAAAACAACUUUACAAGUCUCCAGUUUGGCAAACACUAGGGACUCUAAGGCUGAUGUUUGCAUGAGUGACAUAUGUGUGUACUGUGAGAAGUAACUCUCGUAUAGGCAGUGUCAUAGUCCAAAGUGACUUAAACCAAGCAUUGUUCCCAAACACUAUUUAAAGCUUAAUUAGAUGUUUGUUACUGAAAUUUUUUGAAAGAAGAUGCGCAAUGUAAAAUGUUUACAACCAAUGAAAAAUGCUGUGGUAAAGUGAUUACAUUGUAAUAAAAAAGCAUUAAAACGA